RNAcentral lists this ribosomal RNA (461 nucleotides) under Clostridioides difficile. RNAcentral describes it as "bacterial SSU rRNA". It matches the Rfam family "Bacterial small subunit ribosomal RNA", at positions 1 to 487 of the family's 1533-position model. Lineage: Bacteria; Bacillati; Bacillota; Clostridia; Peptostreptococcales; Peptostreptococcaceae. The record is from RNAcentral.
UUUUAUUUGAGAGUUUGAUCCUGGCUCAGGAUGAACGCUGGCGGCGUGCCUAACACAUGCAAGUUGAGCGAUUUACUUCGGUAAAGAGCGGCGGACGGGUGAGUAACGCGUGGGUAACCUACCCUGUACACACGGAUAACAUACCGAAAGGUAUGCUAAUACGGGAUAAUAUAUUUGAGAGGCAUCUCUUGAAUAUCAAAGGUGAGCCAGUACAGGAUGGACCCGCGUCUGAUUAGCUAGUUGGUAAGGUAACGGCUUACCAAGGCGACGAUCAGUAGCCGACCUGAGAGGGUGAUCGGCCACAUUGGAACUGAGACACGGUCCAAACUCCUACGGGAGGCAGCAGUGGGGAAUAUUGCACAAUGGGCGAAAGCCUGAUGCAGCAACGCCGCGUGAGUGAUGAAGGCCUUCGGGUCGUAAAACUCUGUCCUCAAGGAAGAUAAUGACGGUACUUGAGGAGG